UAGUCCACGCCGUAAACGAUCAUCACUCGCUGUUGGCGAUAUACUGUCAGCGGCCAAGCGAAAGUAUUAAGUGAUGCACCUGGGGAGUACGCCGGCAACGGUGAAACUCAAAGGAAUUGACGGGGGCCCGCACAAGCGGUGGAGCAUGUGGUUUAAUUCGAUGACACGCGAGGAACCUUACCUGGGCUCGAAUGGAUUUGGACAAUUCCUGAAAGGGAAUCUCUCUUCGGAGCCGAAUUCAAGGUGCUGCAUGGUUGUCGUCAGCUCGUGCCGUGAGGUGUUGGGUUAAGUCCCGCAACGAGCGCAACCCCUAUUCUUAGUUACCAGCACAUAAUGGUGGGGACUCUAGGAAGACUGCCGGCGUAAGCCGCGAGGAAGGUGGGGAUGACGUCAAAUCAUCAUGGCCUUUAUGCCCAGGGGCUAC
This 424-nucleotide ribosomal RNA is filed under the name uncultured bacterium. RNAcentral describes it as "bacterial SSU rRNA". It matches the Rfam family "Bacterial small subunit ribosomal RNA", at positions 791 to 1217 of the family's 1533-position model. The record is from RNAcentral.